RNAcentral lists this long non-coding RNA (326 nucleotides) under Ricinus communis (castor bean). RNAcentral describes it as "long non-coding RNA (RCOM_LNC003149)". The record is from RNAcentral. Lineage: Eukaryota; Viridiplantae; Streptophyta; Magnoliopsida; Malpighiales; Euphorbiaceae.
GUUAGCCCUUUUGGAUUAUAACAGAAACAGAUCGUAGCAACAGCUAAUUCAUUGCCAUAGGAUAGAGAAGAAGAACAGAGAGAAAUUAGAAAGCCAUGAAAGGUAAGAGAAGGAUAAGUGUUUAUUUCCCACACAACUUAUUUGCUGGUGACGACCUCUUUGUGGGAGAACUAGUACUUCCCUUUGGGACAGGAUUCCACAACUCUAUCAUUUUCAUGAAAGCCGGUAUACUUCUGCUCCGACUUCCACUCUUUGUCCCACUGACUGUGCUCGGACUGCUUGAGCCGAAACUAGUUGGUGCUUUACCAGGUCUAAGAAAAGCGGAU